AGCAUAUUUACAGAUCCUCUGACAAGGUUUCUUUCUUGGCAUUUUUGGGAUUUUGGGGUAGAUAGUUCUUUGGAGACUGUUACAUACAUGGUAGGUAGUUUAGCAGCAGAGCUGGCCUCUACCCACUAGAUGUCAGUAGCAACCCCCAGUUGUGACACCCCCCAAAAUGUCUCCAUUCCCACAUGUCUUGGGUGGGAACGGGAAGGUGGAUUAUGGUGGCAUGGUGGGUGGGGGUUGCCCCUGUUGAGAACCCCUGGACUAACAGUUUUCUCACUUUAUAAUUGAAGAACAGGUAGACAGAGGAACAAUCAUUAUACAUGUUUGCACCAUUGUAUCAAACUGUUCUCUAGAUUCUCCUGGAGGACAUAAUCACAAAACAUGGAUAAUUAUGUCUACUAAUAUUUUAUAGUUUGAAACUGAAUGCUUAAAAGGUUUUGGAAAUAAGAAUAUAGGCUUUUAUGGACCAAAUUAUUUAGAUGGCCUCUCCUGUGAAUAUUGAUUGCAAGAAGAAAGAGUGUUCACUGUUGGCUCUUGGAAUGCAGACUAACACUCCACCGGCAUGCUUUUGGACUUUGGGGAGAACUGGAAAGUAGUUGUUAAGACAAUGAGAUCCUGUGGGUUUGUUGAUUUCUAGUAAGAGCAUUAUUUUGAGAUUGCUUUCUCUUGGUAUUUCCUGUGAUGGAGUUGGCCAAAAUGAAGAAGAAAAAUACUGCUAAGAAUUCACCAUCACUAAAGACUACUGGGAAGGCAGCCAAACUGGCAAAGGAACAGAAGGCUACUAGCAUCUUUUUAACUAGUGGGAAGAAUACUAAGUUCAUUUUGGUAAUGCCUUUCUCUGUCACCAUCUGCUAGAGAUUUAUAACAAUAUACUGUUGCAAAUCCUGUUAUAUCUUAAAACAGUUGGCAGAAAUGAGGGAGAGAGAGAGAGAUAGAAGGGACUAAAAGGACAGUGUACAUUAAAAAAUUUGGCAAAGUUUUUUGCUAAAUAUAUCUUAAUGGUAGCAUCACUAACUCUUUUGGUGUUUUAUCGAAUAAUGUCUUACUAUUCGCAUGUUUUUCCUAAAAGCAUAAGUUUUAGAUGUACUAGAAGAAGAAUGUGGGGAAGACUUUCCUAAGUUUUAGCAGUAAAGCUGGCCUAUGCAGUAGUUCAUAGAUGGUUUUAGGUUGGACAGUGAUAUAUAUGGGUGAAAUAUGUUUUCUAGAUUCAACAAAUCUUCUCUCUAACACUUUUUGUCGAUGUUAGCCAGUGGAAUUAUCUCAUAGGUAAGACUUCUAAAAAGAUAUCUUUUCAUAUCUUAGGAAAUUGUUCACUCUUUCCUCAUGGAAUCCAGUGCAAGUGUUCCUUAUUUUUAUUUCAUUUAGUGGCAAGUGAUGUUGGAACAGCAUGAAGAUAGAAAAUGAGAUAGAGGGGAUUGUAGGACCCUGGUCUCUUCCCCUUCCUCUCUCUCACAUCCUGACCAUAGGUGAAUGGUUUUGCUAUGUGGUCCUGCUAUGAUGUACUGUUCUGCCACAGGAACAAGAGCAGUGAGGCAACCAGUCAUGGGAUGAAGCCUACAGAACUGUGAGCCAAAAUGAACCUCUUCUCCACAUUAGCUGAUUGCUACAGAUUGAAAACAACAGCAGUAGCAACCACUAAACAUAAAGUUAUGCCCAGGGGCUGCUCCUCAUACUCUCAGAAACAAGUUGGUCCAGGAUGAUUUCCAGCUGUUCCUGUGCACACAGCGCCACUGGGAGACAGAAUAGCUGGUCUCAUGGCCAUGGACAGGCUAGAGGAAAGAGUAGGUUCUGAGGUUUGCAUUUGGUGAGAGUAUGUUGCCCUCCACAUGGCAAAGAUUCAGGAAUGAAUAAAGACAAGGAAAGGAAUGAGCAGAAAUGAAAAUCAUUAUUGAGAGAAACUUGGGCAUCUGCUGUCAGAAUGAAAAGAAAAAGCCUCCAUCAACACAUGAAAGGAAGUCCAGACUGAGGGAAGGAAGAGUCUGCAAUUACACAGUACCAGGGUCAAUAUUCAGAAGCCUUGGAGUCUUCCAGCAGUUAUGGCCAAGAGGAGGACUUGCACCAACUUAUCACAGCAAGUGAAGCUUUUCUUGCACUGUAUUUCUUAAGGAAAUUCUCACACUGGACAAUCAGUGAGGGAACUGGACAAUUUUGUCAUUCACAGCUUUAGAGAGAACACAGAUCUCUGAUCUUCAGUUGCUUCCAUCAGUUCUUCCCAUCCUCCUGAGGCUUCUUAAGAAGUCAAGGGAUGGGGCUCUGGAAAUGUGCUUGAAGCCAGGUGGAGUUACCUUGUCUCCAUGGCAAAGACAGGCAGGUGCUCAGGGCCUUUGGAGAAACAGGAGGAUGUUUUUUUGUGACCAUUCCUUAGCCUUCCAUUUACUCUUGGACCUCUGUCUGUGACUAUGAAUAGCUUGGCCAUGCAGCACAGUAAGACACAUAUUCUACCUAACCAUCCCAUGAGCACAUUCACACUUGCCACAUGUGUGCACUCAGAUCAUUUCAAACAAUAAUCCCCCAAAUUCCCUGAGCAAUAUUUUCUCAUGUCACAGUGAACUGCUCUGAUUCUUAAAAUGCUAUCAAUUCUAUUUUUAAAGUGUUGCUUGUCACCAACUGAAAAAUUAAUUUCAUGACUCACAAUGGGUCAUGACUUGUGAUUUGAAAAACAGUACUCUGAAUCCUUUGUUCUCAACCAAGACAGCUGUUCAAACUUUACUCAUUUGUGUCCCUGGAUGAUAUAAUACAUACCCACUAAUGUAUAUAUGUGGUAAAAUAUCCUUAGUGAUUCUAGUGUGCCCCUUACCAUCCCCUAGCCAAUCCAAAGUGACAAGAUGCUAGGAAAAAUAAACAAAAGGGAGAGAAGAGGAAGAAUUUUUCCUAAGAUUUAGAGCACAGCUUGUCUUUUCUGUCCCAGAGAGUACCAGCUCCUAAUAAAAAAGAAGUUCUAGAUUCCAACUAGGACACAAGAAAGCUGGAUGUGAUGGCACAUGCCCGUUAUGCCAGAACUCUAGUAGGGUGAGGCAGGAGGUUCAAAAGUUUGUGUCUAACCUGAGCCACUCAGUGAGACCCUCUGUUAAAAGCUAAUUAACUAAAUAUAUUGAUAGAUGAAUAAAAAAUUUAAAAAGGGGCUGGAGUGUAGCUCAGUGCAAAGACUGUGUUUCAAUCUCCAUUAACACACACACACACACACACACACACACACUCACACCACAAGAUAUGAGUGAUUGCACUACAGUUUCCAGGAGAUAAAUUGAAUAUAUUCAUGUUGUAUAAAUGACACUAAAUCUGAGGUGAGUCCACCCUUACUUAAAGCUUGCCCUUUUAUCCUUUAUGUGUUUGAGAAAAGUUUUCCUUCAAGGCCAGAGUUCUAAAUGCAAUAGCAUGCAUGUGUUCUUGAAGGCAGAUGAUGACAGGGACCAACUCAAGCUAUAUCUCUACCUCCAUCUUUAUUGGAUGUCCGGAGACCUGAUAGGGUUUGAGCUAAGUGUUCCUGGAUUUUAACUUCCCAGGAUCCAUUAUACUAGGGUGGCCAGGACUUUUGCAGACAGCAUCUACACAGUACAGAAAUACACUGAAUCCAACACCCACAGGGCAGUAAUCUCUCUGGGUGUGAGCUUUCAGUCCACAGUUAAGCAGAUGGGAAGUGUAGGACUUAUCAUAUUUGAUGACUAACAUAUUUGAUACCCAAAGGAAUCAGUCUUUAAUAACUUUCUUUUAUGCGACCAAAUGAUUUCCACUAAUAAUUCAGAAAUGAAAUAAAAAUAUGAAUUGAAAAGAAAUGUUGAUAUUUUAAAAUUGAUCUUGAUAGGGUUAAUCAUGCUAGUAAAAAUAAAAUUAAAAACAUAAAAUAAAAUAAAUACUAUAGUACCAAAAAAGAGAAUUGUAGAUUAAAACAUUUAAUUACAGGAACAUGUAUUUUAAAAGUCUUGUAUGUCACAGUAAUGAGUAAUAACACAAUAACUUUAAUUUGUUUUUAAGCUCUAACUUCUCCAGAUUUGUCAAGGACAUUGUUAAAAUUGCUCUGUGCCUUCAUGUUCAGAGUUACUAGCAGAUAUGUCCAUCUAUCUUUGCUCAUAGUUGACUGAAGGACAUUUUUUAUUAAAUUGCAAUUUACAACUUUUCUUUCCUAUGAAGAGGCAGAUAUCUAAAAGAGGAAAAGGCUUAAAUGUAACAAUAGAUUUAUCAGAAGUUCUUAAAUGAUCCCAUUUCACAAGAAAAAUUCCAGAGACUUCAAUACUAUCCAUUUUGUUUUUUCUUUACUUCAAUUUUGAAAGCUUUCAAAUGUCUCUGCAUCCAAAAUUUUCCACUAAAAAUCUUUAGAGAAGACUAUCUUAAAUUUCUAUCAUUCAGUGAAAUCUGAAGUGUUCCAUCUUUUGCAACAAUCAAAGAAUGGCUGAACAGUAGUGAACAUCAGCACUAUUUAAAGCACUGUUUUAUGCUGAGCUACAAAGCUGAACAGACUCAAGUUUCGUUUCUUCAUCCUUACAUCCACUGUGCUAUUACCAUUUAUUAAGAAAUUGUGUGUGUGAUACCACAGUGAUUGGAGGGUCCAGACCACGACCAAAGGAAGCUUGAGCUACUGUGUGAUUGAAAGUUCUCUGAAUUAGCUGCCAUGUAGAAUAUGAUGGUUAUCACAGCAUAAGCAAUGCAAAGGUAAUGCUUUGGAGCUUAUGCAGUGUAUUGUUAACAUUCAGUGCUACCUGACGUUUAGAAUUAACAGUGUACUGUGACAUUACAAAGCAGACCAGCUUGUAUCUGUUUUUUGGUAAUGCUGGGGGUGGAACCCAGGGUCUUGUGUGCUAGGCAGGUAUUCUACCACUGAGCUACAUCCCCAGUUUGCUUGGUUUCCUCAUUCUCUAUUAAGUUCUGCACAGACAACCCCCUCCCUCGCCACCCCACCCCCCCAUUGCCUGCACUGGGGGGCUCAUCAGGAGUCCCAUUUCUGGUACAUCCUUGGGAACAAGACCUGGUGAAGAUUGGAAGAUUUGGUGCCUGACCUGUGUCCCAGUGUGAUGCUUACUCACUUCUGCCCGCCCCCCAGAUUGGUUCAGUGGCUCAUCCCUCUCAAGCUUCUUCUCCUUCUGUACCUCAGUGGUGAGCUUCUAACCUGGGAUUCUACUAUUUCUCUGUGGGUAGAGAGAGGGAGGUAGACAGGGAGAGAGAAAGAAGAAAAACAAGUUUAAUCUCCUGCAAGGCAUUUGCUACAAGGGACAUGAAUCUUCACCUUGUAUCGCAUUCUGGGUCUCCAAGACCUGAGCCAGCAGCAAUUGUUCUCUGUGGGUGUCGAGGGAAACUUGCUCUGCUGGAGCCCAGCCUCAGAUAAGAGGCAGCACGUGCCAGGGGCCUGCAUCCCAGCACUAUAUCCCCAGAGAAGUCACUGGUUGCUUGUGCAACUUCAGGCCAGAUACCAAGUCCUCUGUGUGGAGCAACGUCCUCAUGCAAGUGGCAUCAUAACAGUGCCCUCCUCACAGAAUCUCUGUGGGGACUAAAGGAGACCAUGUGUGCAAGGUGCCUAAUCCAUACCUGUGAAUAAAAGAACAUGCCAUAAAAAUUAGUUAGGACUUUUACUCUUCUGUAUAAUGAUAAUUAAAGACAUGAGGGAAAUACACGAAUACAGACAAUUCUUUCAUAGGUUUAGUAAAUAUUACAAAAGUUGUUAUUUCUGAGACUGACUUGAUUCUAGUUUAAGUGAAAACUGGUUUGUCUCAUUAGCAGUAUUCUUUUAUUUAUUUAUUUUUAUUUAUAUAUUUAUUGGUACAUUUUAGGUAUACAAUACAUUUACAUUUAUCAUUGGGUGUUUGUACCUGAACAUGAUGUAUCUUAGUUCUUAUUUUUUCUUCCAUUACCUGUGUGCCCUUCACCCCCUCAGCAGUAUUCUUUUAAAAGGCUACAUCAUUAGACAUUCUGACUCCAUGUACAAGGUGGGACUAGACUGAAUCUGAGUACAAAUGACAAGAGGAUCUGGGACCUCAAGUUACCUUUAACUGUGCAGCAAAUCACAUUUCUAUGAAAAUCCAGGGGAACAACUCACUUAGAGGAGAUGCCACAAGUGUGUGAGUGUGAGGAGCCAAUCUUCACCAGUGGAUUAGUACUUGAUGAGUUCAUAGCUGACUUGUUGUUCGGAGGGGGAUCCAGUUAGUUGGAACAGGUAGGUCACUGGGGGCCUGGCCUGGAAGGGUUUAUCUCUUCCUGGCUUCUUACUUCAUUCUGUCUCUGCCCAUGGAUGCCAGGGCCUGAGCAGCUCACACCACCAGGCCUCUCUGCCACCCUGCCUUGGAGCCAGCAGGAUGUGGACUGGGACCUCUACAAACUGUGAGGCAAAAAAACCUUUCUUCCCUUAAGGUGUGGGAGUAAGGUAUUUUGUCCCAGGGACAAAGAAAGUGACUAAAAUGGAGCUGUAACAUUUCAGGAAGUGUCCUCUCCUGGCUGCUGACUUUAGUUCCACACACCAGGGUCCUUUUUAUCCCUUUUGCCAGUGGCCACACAGCUGGGAAUAUUGAUUGUGCUGCUCUAGCUGGCAUUUUUAAGGAUAAGGGUUUUGUCUUUUCCUUCACUUGUUUUGUUGAACAGAGGCAAGUGUUAGAAGCUAGUGUGGGCUCACUUUCAUUUUAAGUCCAAAAUAACGUUUGUCACAGGAACAGCAAUACAAAAUGCAAAUAGGAAUAUUUUGAUGGAAUUUUUAUAGGAGUUGUUUUUAGUGUUUGUAUAUGGGAUAAGGUCAUUUUAAAGUAACGUUUAUCACCAGACACAAAAGAGCCUGUACUAUUCUUUUAAUAUAAAAUACUUAUUUAUUUAAAUGUUUAAAUAUUAAGAACUGCCAUGGACUUCUUCUGACAAGUGUCUAUUCAUUGCAUUUGCCCAUUUUUGAUUGGGUCUUUUAUUGUGAAUGGUCUAAGGUUUUUUUAGAUCUUUGUACAUCCUACAUAUUACCAGUCCUCUGUCUGAGGAAUAGCUGACAAAAUUUUUUCACAUUCUGUGGGUUUCCUUUUUCUCUGUUGAUUGUUUCCUUUGCUGUGUGGAAGCUUUUAAAUUUGAUAUGAUCCCAUUUGUUGAUUCUCAAUGCUAUUUCUUGUGCAAUUUGAGUUCUGUUCAGCAAGUCCUUGCCUGUGUCUGUGAAUUCAAGAGUUUUACCUGCAUUAUCUUCCAGCAGGCUAAGUGUUUCUGCUUCAAUAUUUAGGUCUUUGAAUCAACAUGUAGUAAUAAAAAAUUUUAAAAUAGUAAGAAUGAACACCAUGAUUUCUGACUAGCUAGCUAAAGAGAAUGCUUUAGGAGACAUGUCUGUAAAAAAAAGAUUCCUCAGGGAACCUUAAUAAAAUACAUUCUAUUUUUAUGUGGACUUCUAGGAAACUGGAAAAUUAAAACAUGCUUAAGAUGGUACAUCUGUGCUUAUAUGAUGCAUUGGAACAAAUGCAAUUGUAAUAAUAAAAGGGCAAUUCAGAGGUACAGCUGAGUUAUGCCACUGAUAGAAUUCUUAAAGAUAAAACUUUGGAUUCUGAUUUGGCUCAUCUCAGAUUUGUUUGAUGGAAAGUAGAAAAAUUGAGGGGAUGUAUUCUCUUUGUGUCACAUGUAUUUAUUUCCUCCUGCUAACAUAGUAAUUAUUUUUUCAGUGUAAUUCUGGAAGCAUUUAUUGAGUACCUACUAUGUACCAGAUAUUGUGUCAGGUGCUCUAGAUGACUCAAAAUUAAAUAAGAUGUACUUUACAUCAGUAAUCAAGACAUACAUUACUAACUGUGAUAUUUGUACGAAUGCUGUGAAUGCUACAGGCAAGUCUAUCUUGAUAGAGAGGUUCACAGGGAGGCAGAUUCUGUUGGUGCUGAAGCAAAGGAAGAAGUUUGAGCCCAGGGAUGUCUUGGAGGGUUUAGAGUGAUGGAGGAUGGACAGCAAGGACUCUGCACAGCAGAGUGAAGGGCAGAAUAGGUUACUGCAGGCCUUACCUGCAUGUUGGAGGCAUUGCCUCCCUUCCAAAGCAAUGGAAGAGCACCAGUGUUUAUAGAAGAGCAUGACAGGCAAGUUACUGGUGUUGAUUCCUAAUGGCCCCAAGUCUUCUGCAGGAGUAAAUGGCAGGAUUUCUGCUGAGCCCAAGAAUUUAGCAUUGAGAUUGGGGAUACUGGGGCAGUGUAGUCAAGUGCUUAAUAGUUGCUAUUUGGAUUGGAAAGGAAGCCAAUCAGUAAUGAAUAAAAGGACUGGUGAACUGCAUAUAGCAAAAGAUGGAAAAACAUUACAAAUUUAUCAUGCAGCCAAUUAGCACCAUUGUACCAACUUUCUGUGGUGACAUUCAACAGUCAAGGUGAAGACAGUUGUGUUGAAUUAUUGAUAAUUGCUAAUUUCAUAGGUGUAUGUUUUUGUUAUCCCCCUUGUCCCUCAAAUGCUGCUAGUUAUGCAUCUUUCAUCAAGAUCUGUAAGGAAGGCUAAAAUGUGCUGGUGUGUCCUGAAGGGUAGGGGUGGAAAUAUUUUACCAAGAGUAGACAUGACGCCUUUUUGACAAGAGACAAAUGUUUCAUUCAAAUGCUGCAUUUCGCAUAUUGGAAACUGUAAUGAAUUUCCAUGCACCCCUCUACUUAGUUCAUAAUGUCAUGCCCAGGCGUGGCAACACCUCAGGCUUUCCUCACAAAAUUAAAUUUAAUGUUACACCCUCCAGUAGAAUGGUGCAUAAAUCAAGCCUUUGAUUUGCAUGGACUGUAGCAAGCAGCUCUGUUCUGGACAAAUAUAAACCCGACUCUGAAUAUUAUGUCAGGGAGAGGAACAAAGCAAUCUAGGACUUCCAAUAAAAGUCGGGUACCCAGUGUAAUUCAUGCUGGUAUUACACUGCUCUGUGUCAAGCUUAUUAUUAAAACUCUUGUUUUAGCUUCCUUUUUUCAUUUCAAAAGAAAAUGUUUUUCUUGACCUUCCUGUAUUCAGAAAACCAGCACAUAGUCCAACCAGUACUAUUUAUAAACUGGUGUCUACUAGAGACAACCAUGGGCAUAUUUAUUUUCUCUCCCAUCUAUCCUCACCCAGCAUAGAGUACGGGAAGGGGUACAUAUGAGUAAUCAAGUGGGAAGGAACAAAACAAAGGCCAUGGAAUAAAAUACCCCAAGGAGAUUGGAUAUUCACUAAUGUUCUACCUCCGGUCACAGCCCUGGGAGAAUGCUAGGAACUGAUUCAGAACAGACAAGCUUUGAAAAGGCCUUGAUUGCCAAGGUUAAUGCACAUUUGGAUUCAGUACAUGCAUCCAGUUCAGGAAAAGUGAGCCUAAAUAUGCAUCAUUUGGUCUUAUUUCUGGCCUACAGCACAUGCUGAGUUAUAGCUUUCUUCACUCAUAUUUUCUCCAUUGUAGAGGAUCUGAACUCAGUUUUUAAACCACAAAUAAAAUCACUGUGAUCCAAAACUGAGGGAGGCUUUGAGAUAAGGAACAUUUUUACAAAUACAAAAUGAACCUGCCCAACAUCCCCUAAGAACAGAAAUAGAUCAUGGUCCUGCACAUCUUCUACUCCACACCAAGAACCAUCAUAUUUACCCUGGAAGCAGGCAGGGUCUACAACAGAGCUCACUCCUGAACCCAAGUGCUUUCCCAGGAAGCCACAGCUGUCCAGAACACAUAACCAGGUAAGCACGUGACCCUGGGAGCUGGGCAGAUGUCUUGGUAUCUACAGUGUAAUUUCUCCCAGCUGUCCAUGAACAUCUGUGAGAAUUUGGAAUGCUUCAGGAUUGGAAUAGGUGAAAGGUGGUGUCUGAAAAAUAAAUUUAUGAUAUCUUAAAGGGAGUAAAUUAGGAUUCAUUUAUUCAUUUGUGAAUGGAAUAUAUGCAUGAAUAUUUAUUAAAUGGCUACAAUAUGUCAGUCUCUGUGCUAUGUGCAAUAUGGGGAAUAUAGAGUGAAUUUCAAGGAAUUUACUUUUAAAAUUAAGGUAUAUGAGAUCUGAAUAACUGUUGUACAAUAUGGAAGUUUCUGCUUUAGGAUACAAAAAUGUGGAAGAAGGAUACAUCAUUCUAAUUGAAGGAAACUAGAGGAGGCCAAGUGAACAGGGUUCAGCCAUGUGGAAUGGAGACAGGAAGGGGAACUCAGUGAGGGGGAGGGCUAUGGGAACUCCUGGGUCAGGGAACCCCAUGCAUGGAUCACAGGAAGGAAUAGCGACUAGGUCCAGCAUUGCACUAGUGAGUGAAUGAAUCAAAGUGGAGAGAAAUGAGACUGGAAAGAUGGAGGGGUGGGGGUGACCACUGAACACUGGACCAGGUAGUUUUGAGGGUGAAAAUUAAGCAAUAUGGAAUAUUAAAGAUCUGUCAUAGCAUAGAAGAUAGAUUGAAGAGCAGAGACUGGCAUGAAGGAGACUGAUGAGUUCUGGAGAGAAGGGACAAUAGCCUGGAAGACGAGGUGGCAGUGGGGACAGACAGGAAGGAAGAGGAUAUUACACAAAUGGAAUCCACAGACCAGACAACAGACUGGGGACAAGAGAAGGUCAAAUGCAAUGCUGGAGUUUUGGUUGGGUGUGCAGAAGAAACAUACAGUUAAUACAGUUAAUAGUAACAGCUCAAAGAACUUUCUUUUUUUUUAUUAAAAAAAGAUGCUAUUAUGAAGCAAUGUGAUGUAGAUGCUUAAUGUCUUUUACCUGAGGUCAAAAUCCAAUUUAAACACUGCAAGCUCCCUAUUCCCAUACACUGUAAUUUGGGUAAAGUUGAAUGACUUGACUUAGGCUUAUGAGAAAGAGGAGAAAUAAAAUAUUUCUAAAUGGUCACUGUGGGUAUAAAAUCAGCAUAAAGUUUCUUGGUAUUUAUCAUUCUGAUUAUCCCACUAAUGUUUUUGGAAAUCAUUACAAAGAGCCAGAGUUUCACAAGCCCUAAAUAGAGCAAAUGGCUAAUUUCAGGUACAUUGACUUUGUUGAUCAUGAUUUAAAGAUUCAUGUUGGAAUAGAAGAGCAUCUAGUCCAAUCCAAGUUUAUUUUGAAAGUACAGUCAGUCCACUUCAUGGAUAAGGUGUUUUCUAAUUGACUGAAACACCAGGCUGGCUGGUCUCUAAGCCAGCCUGUCAAUACCCAUACUGUACACAGAAAACCAGGGUAACCCCAGCACCAUCUCUUAGGCCAAGUGAUUAACUGCACAUCGGUCAUUUAGUGUAAUAAAUGUGAAGUCGGAGCAACUGAGUGUUGCCCCAGGCCUCCUGCUGUGAAAAUACAUGCCCUCCCACUUUGGCAAGCUUAGAGCAGACCCAAGGAAUUUGUCUGAAAUGUUACAGAACAAUGAGCACUCUUACAGUGCGAAAGAAAGCCUCCAUGUAGUUGAUCCUACCUGUCAGGCAGUGUGGACUGUGCUAUGAUCACUGCCCUCUCAGUUUGAAAGAAAUCUACUUUAAUGAGAAACAAAAACUGACCCUUUAGUGAUCAUUAAGAUCUCAUUUUUUUUAUAAAAACUUGAUGUGUAUCAGCUUUAAUGAUUGUUACAUCUAGUUUAGGAGAAACCAUGGAUACCAGCUUACAGAAGGAAUGAAGAUUCCAUUUUGAAAAAUCUCUUGCCUGUUUUUAGGAAUCAGAGAAAGACGAAAAGUAGAUGCUGUGACGAUGGAAUCUAUUUAUCUCUAAGGGGCUACACAAAAGGCAUUGCCUUUUGUUAUGAUUCCUCAACCAAUUAAGGAAAUGGGCUGCAUUUAAUAUGCCCAGUUUUGACUCUGUCAAUUUAUUAAGCCAACAAAAUAGUUAAUAUAAUCUGGUUAUUAAUUCUAGUUAAUGUCUCUUCCUAGAUUAUUUGAUCCAGGUUAUUGCUGCUGUAAAAAGGAUGUGGCAUCACAUAAAAUGCAGCAACUGUUUGAUCAAAUUAAGUGGUAUCACUUGGGGCAGGGCAUAUUGAAAUCAAUGUCCUCACGUGUCUGCUUGCCAUCCUCAGAAAUUUGCCUCUGACCUGCAAUAAAUAGUUGUGGUUCUUGAGCUAUUUAAGCCUGAUUAAGGUAUUUGUUAUGCAUUUGCUGGUACACUGGGUGCACAGUGUCAAUUCUCAGCUGUCAUUGUCAUGAUUAAAAAGGGUAGAAGGGAGUGACCCCUAUGUGGGACAAGUUGCAAUAAAUAAUAAGGAUGCCAUGAACCUCUAAACCAAUCACUGAGUUUAGCCAAAGUGAAUAAAAACCCUCGUAAGAUCUCUAACCAAAAAAGUUGCUAAGCAAAUAAUGCUGGAUUUUUUUUUUAUUAAUGAUUACUUUCCAUUGCCCAGCUAUUGUUAGGAGAUCUUGUUAUAUGAAUACAAAUGAUAAGGAUGUAACUGACUUCAGAGAAGCACUCCACCUAGGUGAGGGUUGGUUCUUGGGAAGUUUUUUUUAAAUUCGGAAAACUAUUUAUGUUAAGGAAGGCAAUGCAAUCAAAGCUCCAGCAAUGAGAUGGCAUCUACAGGAGGGGAAACCAGAUAUAUAACUGGAUUAAAAAUCUUAGAAGCACUUAAAAAAAAAAAGGACAUGUGUUCAUUGGCUCUUUGUUUACAAGUCCUAAGAAUGGGCCAAGACAGCAAUUAAUGCCAGUUUCUCAUCUCAAGAGCUGCAAAGACAAGCAGUGUAAUGUCAAACAACCAGUGUGCCUGACUUAUUCACCAAGCUGUCUGAGACACUCUUCCUCUGUUGAAGCCCACUUUUUAGCAAUGAUGAAUAACAACACUGGGUUAACAAUAGCAAUAAAAACGUUAAUCACAACUUCUACUAAAAAUCCACCACGACACAGGCAUUGUGUUGAACACUUUGUAUGGAUUAAUUUUUUACUCCUAACACCAACAACCCAGGUUGAUAGCGUUAUUACCUCUGUUUUUCAAAAGAAGGAAAAGGUUAAGUAGCCUGCCUUGCAUAAUAUGUGAUGGAUUUUGGCUUCUACUUAGGCAGUCUGACUCUUGUUCCUGUUCUUCCCUCCAUUAUUCUAUAUAAUUCCUUCCUAAAUGCAAUUCAUGUGGACAGAUUUUUAAAAAUUGAAUGUUGUUUAAUUGCAUCAGGCUUCUUUUUUAUUUUAAAAGAUUCCUAAAGUCAUGACUUUUAUAAAAUGAUUAUCAUCCGUUCAUUUAAGAAAUGUUUAUUAAGUAUCUGCUACAUUCCUGGGACUGCUAAUGUUAAGGAAAUGAAAAAUAAGAUAGGGUCCCUGACUUUAGAAAAUCCUAUAUCAACUCAGUUAAUUUAAAUGAGGUACAACUAUAUUCAUAUGUAUGUGUUCAGGCCAUAACCAUGGUCUUUGUGCUUUUAAUAUGACAGUUAACCACUAAUGUAGAUUUUCAUGCCAUGAACUCUAGAGCCUACUUUAUUAUUUUUCCAAAGUGGAAGUAACUUCUAUUUUUUUGGUACCGGGGAUCGAACUCAGGUCCUUGAGCUUGCACAGGAGGCAGCGAAACCACUGAGCUAAAUCCCCGGCCCCUGUAACUUCUAUUUUUGUGGCCAAUUGUAAAACAAAUCAGACAGUGCAUAGUACCAUAAAAAAUGAAAUAUUCCGUAAUCCUUAUCCAAUAACAGUAAUUAUUAAUACUUUUGUACAUUUCUUACUGCCUUCAAGGUUUUUUUUUUUUUUCAUUUUUCUUUUCUAUGGAAACUGAGAUAUACUGUCUUUGGUGUUUCAUGACCUGCUCAGUAGACCUGCUAAUGAUACCAGGUAACAUGUACUUUUUUUGGGUCAAAAAAAAAAGUUUAGAAAAUCAGUCAAUCCUGCAUAGUAGUUUAUUUAACCACACUUUAUUUUGCCAAUCCUCUUUGAUGGACAUUUAAAUUGUUUUAGUAUUUCUAUUUUUUAAAUAAAUUUUUUUUUGUAAACAACUUUUGAUGGACUCUUGUGCAUAAUUCUCUUCUCUCUCUUUUAGUCGCUGAAGAGUAAUUUCCAGUAAUAGCAUUACAAAGCCCAGGCCCAUUUUUGAAAGGCCUUCGAUAAAAUUUACAAAUUAUUUUCUGGACAGUUUGUAAUAAUCUUCUCUCUUAGAAGUAUUGGAUGAGAUUCCCUACUUUCAAAGCUCAUGACGAUCGAUAUGAUGAAAAUAAUGGCCAAUAUUUAUAUGGCAUCUGAUCACAAUAAAAUGUUUUAAAAUAUGUUAUUUCAUCUGUACCUUAUGACUCCGUGAGGUCAGUAAGGUCAAUUUAUUAUCCUCAAUUUCUGGCCAAGGAAGUCCAUGUUUUGCAAGGUGAAAUUCUUUCUGGCUCUAGCUCUCCCAGGGGUGUCCUCCUGCCUACCACAGUGAUGUCUGUGUAGCCCUUCCCCCCUGUUCUUUCCAGCUGCCUGGCAGAGGUCAGUCUGACUCCUUGGUCCUUUUCAGCCCCAGGACAGCGGCAGGAGGGAGGGGGUGUUCCACCCCCAUUGGGGCUGCCUCCUCAACUGGAGGGUGGGGAAGGAGAUAAGUACAGAAUCCUUCUCCAGUGCCAGCCAGGCUCUCCCUCCUCUUCAGCCACAGAGACUAAUGAAUCAGAGACUAUUACGUGGUAAAAAAUGCAGAUUUCUGCUGUCCUUACUAAUGAGAGAAAAAUAUAGUAGACCACUGGCCUAAAGGCUCCAGAUGCAAUUCCUUUGUAACUUAGAGUGCAUUAAAAAAGCUUCAGUCAGCAAGAUAAGUUAAUUUUUUUAUGACCUUUAUAAACUCUUUUAGCCUGUAUCUCAGGAUCUUCUCUUAAAGAUUAAAUUUUUAAAAAUCCUUUUAGCUCAGGCCGACAUAGCAUCUGAAUCUUUUUUGCUUCAAAGGCUACAUCCAAAAAUCUAUAAAGAGAUCCUGUUCGGGACAAUUAUUAUCAAAGUAAUGAUUAGCUAACAUGUCAUUUUUAGUUUUUACCCUUCUUGCCUCUGCAAUGCUAAUCCAAUAGAGCUCACUUCUUCUUAAUGUAAAAGUUGCAUAAAGGAUGCAUCAUUCCCAGCUGACUUUGCCUACAUUUGCAAAUUGAAUUGUCAUCGGAGGCACCUCUUUCAUGUGACUAUUGGGUCAAAGUGGGGGUGUGGGGCACAGAUAUAUCAUGAUUUUAUUAAAAGGAAAAUAAAUCCUCAACUAAGAACUGCCAUGUUGUAUUCAUAUAUAACUGAGGCCAUAGGCUUUAGUAAACCAUAGGGCUCUGUUUCCUGGGGUGAUG
Molecule: long non-coding RNA, 15016 nt
Organism: Heterocephalus glaber (naked mole-rat)
Lineage: Eukaryota; Metazoa; Chordata; Mammalia; Rodentia; Bathyergidae
Source: Ensembl